RNAcentral lists this ribosomal RNA (490 nucleotides) under uncultured bacterium. RNAcentral's name for it is "partial 16S ribosomal RNA". It matches the Rfam family "Bacterial small subunit ribosomal RNA", at positions 29 to 507 of the family's 1533-position model. The record is from RNAcentral.
AGUGAACGCUGGCGGCAGGCCUAAUACAUGCAAGUCGAACGGCAGCACAGUGGAGCUUGCUCCAUGGGUGGCGAGUGGCGGACGGGUGAGGAAUACAUGGGAAUCUGCCCAGUCGUGGGGGAUAACGUAGGGAAACUUACGCUAAUACCGCAUGCGCCCUUCGGGGGAAAGCCGGGGACCUUCGGGCCUGGCGCGAUUGGAUGAGCCCAUGUUCGAUUAGCUAGUUGGCGGGGUAAAGGCCCACCAAGGCGACGAUCGAUAGCUGGUCUGAGAGGAUGAUCAGCCACACUGGGACUGAGACACGGCCCAGACUCCUACGGGAGGCAGCAGUAGGGAAUAUUGGACAAUGGGCGCAAGCCUGAUCCAGCCAUGCCGUGUGAGUGAAGAAGGCCCUCGGGUUGUAAAGCUCUUUUGUCCGGGAAGAAAAGCAUCGGGCUAAUACCUCGGUGUUCUGACGGUACCGGAAGAAUAAGCACCGGCUAACUUCGUG